AUUGAACGCUGGCGGCAGGCCUAACACAUGCAAGUCGAACGAAUGGCGGACGGGUGAGUAAUGUCUGGGAAACUGCCCGGUGGAGGGGGAUAACUACUGGAAACGGUAGCUAAUACCGCAUACCAUAGGAUGUGCCCAGAUGGGAUUAGCUGGUAGGUGGGGUAACGGCUCACCUAGGCGAGGAUCCCUAGCUGGUCUGAGAGGAUGACCAGCCAUAGCGGAACGGGUGCGCGGGUCAGAGUCCUACGGGAGGCAGCAGUGGGGUAGAUGGCGCCAUAGGCGCGAGUCUGAUUCAGCCAUGUCGAGUGUAUGAAGAAGUCCUGCGGGUUGUAAAGUACUUGCAGCGAGGAGGCGUUACUCGAAGAAGCAGCACCGGCUAAAUCCGUGCCAGCAGCCGCGGUUAUAC
This 406-nucleotide ribosomal RNA is filed under the name uncultured bacterium. Its description in RNAcentral is "partial 16S ribosomal RNA". It matches the Rfam family "Bacterial small subunit ribosomal RNA", at positions 29 to 526 of the family's 1533-position model. The record is from RNAcentral.